AUGAAUAUGGCGACUUGCAUUCGUAAGGUGGCCUUAGAGGAGUUUGGAGUGUCCAGGGGAAGGAGAAGCGAAGAUAAGGAUACCUGGUGGUGGAAUGAUGAUGUCCAGAAGGCGCUUAAAGAGAAGAAAGAUUGCUUCAGACGCCUAUACCUGGAUAGGAGUGCAGACAACAUAGAGAAGUACAAGAUGGCGAAGAAGGCCGCAAAGCGAGUUGUUGGUGAAGCAAGGGGUCGGGCAUAUGAGGACCUCUACCAACGGUUAGGCACGAAGGAAGGUGAAAGGGACAUCUAUAAGAUGGCUAAGAUCCGGGAGAGGAAGAAGAGGGAUAUUGGCCAAGUCAAAUGCAUCAAGGACGGAGCAGGCCAACUCUUGGUGAAGGACGAAGAGAUUAAGCAUAGAUGGCGGGAGUACUUCGACAAGCUGUUCAAUGGGGAGAAUGAGAGUUCUACCAUUGAACUGAAUGACUCCUUUGAUGAGACCAGCAUGCGUUUUGUGCGGCGCAUCCAGGAGUCUGAGGUGAAGGAGGCUUUAAAAAGGAUGAAAGGAGGCAAGGCGAUGGGCCCUGAUUGUAUCUCCAUUGAGGUGUGGAAAGGUCUCGGGGACAUAGCGAUAGUAUGGCUAACCAAGCUUUUCAACCUCAUUUUUCGGGCAAACAAGAUGCCAGAAGAAUGGAGACGGAGUAUAUUAGUACCAACCUUCAAGAACAAGGGGGAUGUUCAGAGUUGUACUAAUUACCGUGGAAUUAAGCUGAUGAGCCAUACAAUGAAGCUAUGGGAGAGAGUCAUUGAGCACCGCUUAAGAAGAAUGACAAGCGUGACCAAAAAUCAGUUUGGUUUCAUGCCUGGGAGGUCGACCAUGGAAGCCAUUUUCUUGGUACGACAACUUAUGGAGAGAUAUAGGGAGCAUAAGAAGGACUUGCAUAUGGUGUUCAUUGACUUGGAGAAGGCCUAUGAUAAGAUACCGCGGAAUGUCAUGUGGUGGGACUUGGAGAAACACAAAGUCCCAGCAAAGUACAUUACCCUCAUCAAGGACAUGUACAAUAAUGUUGUGACAAGUGUUCGAACAAGUGAUGUCGACACCGAUGACUUCCCGAUUAAGAUAGGACUGCAUCAGGGGUCAGCUUUGAGCCCUUAUCUUUUUGCAUUGGUGAUGGAUGAGGUCACAAGGGGUAUACAAGGAGAUAUCCCAUGGUGUAUGCUCUUUGCGGAUGAUGUGGUGCUAGUUGAUGAUAGUCGGACGGGGGUAAGUAGGAAGUUAGAGUUAUGGAGACAAACUUUGGAAUCGAAAGGGUUUAGGCUUAGUAGAACUAAAACCGAGUACAUGAUGUGCGGUUUCAGUACUACUAGCUGUGAGGAGGAGGAGGUUAGCCUUGAUGGCCAGGUGGUACCUCGGAAGGACACAUUUCGGUAUUUGGGGGCAAUGUUGCAGGAGAAUGGGGGUAUUGAUGAAGAUGUGAACCAUCGAAUCAAAGCCGGAUGGAUGAAGUGGAGCCAAGCUUCUGGCAUUCUCUGUGACAAGAGAGUGCCACAAAAGCUAAAAGGCAAGUUCUACAGGACGGCGGUUCGACCCGCAAUGUUGUAUGGCGCGGAGUGUUGGCCGACUAAAAGGCGACAUGUUCAACAGUUUGGUGUGGCAGAGAUGCGUAUGUUGAGAUGGAUGUGUGGCCACACGAGGAAGGAUCGAGUCCGGAAUGAUGAUAUACGAGAUAGAGUUGGGGAAGCACCAAUUGAGGAGAAGCUUGUCCAACAUCGUUUGAGAUGGUUUGGGCAUAUUCAGCGCAGGCCUCUAGAAGCUCCAGUGCCUAGCAGACGGCUAAAGCGUGCGGAGAAUGUCAAGAGAGGGCGGGGUCGACCGAUUUUGACAUGGGAGGAGUCCGUUAAGAGAGACCUGAAGGAUUGGAGUAUCGACAAAGAGCUAGCUAUGGACAGGGGUGCGUGGAAGCUUGCUAUCCAUGUGCCAGAGCCAUGA
Molecule: ribosomal RNA, 1968 nt
Filed under: Triticum aestivum (bread wheat)
Lineage: Eukaryota; Viridiplantae; Streptophyta; Magnoliopsida; Poales; Poaceae
Description: partial small subunit ribosomal RNA
Source: RNAcentral